Molecule: transfer RNA, 67 nt
Filed under: Trichomalopsis sarcophagae
Lineage: Eukaryota; Metazoa; Arthropoda; Insecta; Hymenoptera; Pteromalidae
Rfam family: tRNA
About the family: Transfer RNA (tRNA) molecules are approximately 80 nucleotides in length. Their secondary structure includes four short double-helical elements and three loops (D, anti-codon, and T loops). Further hydrogen bonds mediate the characteristic L-shaped molecular structure. tRNAs have two regions of fundamental functional importance: the anti-codon, which is responsible for specific mRNA codon recognition, and the 3' end, to which the tRNAs corresponding amino acid is attached (by aminoacyl-tRNA synthetases). tRNAs cope with the degeneracy of the genetic code in two manners: having more than one tRNA (with a specific anti-codon) for a particular amino acid; and 'wobble' base-pairing, i.e. permitting non-standard base-pairing at the 3rd anti-codon position.
Source: Rfam by way of RNAcentral
AGUAAUAUGUCUGAAUAUUAAAGUAAUAAAUUGUAAAUUUAUUUAUAGAGUUUAACUCUUAUUACUA